GUAGCAUUGCUACGUCAUCAAUGCUGGGGCUUCUUGAUGGCAACCACCUCAGUGUAACCGUGUGAAACCUGUGUCACUUUUGAGACUGGCUCCAAGUAACAGCAACAAUUUGUAACGUUGAACUUCACCUGAGCCAUGCAAUAAGAAGAGAUUGAGUAAGCACUAUAGUAUGGACUGUACCAGUGGAAUCGGGCUUGGCAGUGAGGCAAGAGGUCUUAAAGAAAAAUACAUUUGGUUAAAAAGCAAUGAAGAAAGAUCCUAUGAAACACAGAGCUGCAAUUGGAAGUGAAAAUGCUGUUUUGAAAAGUGAAAGCAGACACCUAAG
Non-coding RNA from Myodes glareolus (Bank vole), 325 nucleotides. The record is from RefSeq and is a predicted model, not a curated record. NCBI's taxonomy places the organism in Eukaryota, Metazoa, Chordata, Mammalia, Rodentia, Cricetidae.